This is a long non-coding RNA of Xiphophorus couchianus (Monterrey platyfish), 961 nucleotides long. RefSeq lists it as uncharacterized. NCBI's taxonomy places the organism in Eukaryota, Metazoa, Chordata, Actinopteri, Cyprinodontiformes, Poeciliidae. The record is from RefSeq and is a predicted model, not a curated record. The transcript is spliced from 2 exons.
CCCUGAUCUCAAUCCAAUUGAAAACGUGUUUGCAGAGCUAAAAAGGCUUACAAGAACAAGGUGACCUACACACUUGACUCGGUUACACCUGUUUUGUCAGUGGUAAAACUCCAGCUUCUUUAGUGUAAGAAGCUUGUGCAAAGAUACAAAAACAUUUGAAAAUAUACAGUACAGAAAACCCCCAUAAAGAAAUGAUUUAUGUUGUUGUUCUGAUAAUUAGCAAAAAUAAAUACUUUUGGUAAUCCUACCAACUCUCCUGGUUUUCAGAUUUUUGCGCCUUAGAGAUUAUUGACUGUAGUUUCUGUCUCUGUCUCUAUGCAUGUUUCACAAAAACCCUGUAAGGAGAGGACAGUGCUGAAUGGUAAUCUCACCAUCAGCGCUGACCGUGAUCUGGCAGCUCUGUCCGGCCUGACAGUCAAAGAGGCUGUUUCUGCUCAACUUAUUCUCAAACCUGAGGUGAAGAUUCUUGCAUCUCUUCUUGACUUAUAAAGAAAAUCUUGUUGGUUAGUUUUGCAAUUGUGACAUUAUCUUUCAAUUAUCACAUGAUGGAUUGGACAGUGCUCAGUAGGAGCUUGGGGUAUUGCCUCAUAGCAAUUAAAUUUCACACAGAUGGACUCUGUUUACCAAUUAUAUGACUGCUGAAUCCAAGUGGCUGCACUGAAAUUUAUAUAGGUGUAUGUCUGUAACCCAAUCCAAAAUAAGGGCAUUUUGUAUUGAGUUAAGUUCAUGGAAGGAAUAAUAAGUUAGAAUGUGUUAAGCAUGUUUGCUUAAAUAUGUUAAAAUUGUUAUAAAUAAGUGUUAACAAAAAGAAAUGUAUUUAAAACCGUUUUAUAGGAAAGUAAUCUUCACAAUAUUUUAUUUUGAAGGGCUUAAGUUUGUAAGAGGAAGUGGGGUAGAACAAAGCAACUUCACUGGGCCGUGGUUGGCUGAGGGUCGAGGAGAGACCGGAAGUAAGAAAAAA